Molecule: ribosomal RNA, 649 nt
Filed under: uncultured Actinomycetales bacterium
Lineage: Bacteria; Bacillati; Actinomycetota; Actinomycetes; Actinomycetales
Description: bacterial SSU rRNA
Rfam family: Bacterial small subunit ribosomal RNA
Source: RNAcentral
GUACUCGAGUGGCGAACGGGUGAGUAACACGUGGGUGAUCUGCCCUGCACUUCGGGAUAAGCUUGGGAAACUGGGUCUAAUACCGGAUAGGAGCCAUCUUUAGUGUGGUGGUUGGAAAGUUUUUUCGGUGUAGGAUGAGCUCGCGGCCUAUCAGCUUGUUGGUGGGGUAAUGGCCUACCAAGGCGGCGACGGGUAGCCGGCCUGAGAGGGUGUACGGCCACAUUGGGACUGAGAUACGGCCCAGACUCCUACGGGAGGCAGCAGUGGGGAAUAUUGCACAAUGGGCGCAAGCCUGAUGCAGCGACGCCGCGUGGGGGAUGAAGGCCUUCGGGUUGUAAACUCCUUUCGCUAGGGACGAAGCUUUGUUGUGACGGUACCUAGAUAAGAAGCACCGGCUAACUACGUGCCAGCAGCCGCGGUAAUACGUAGGGUGCGAGCGUUGUCCGGAAUUACUGGGCGUAAAGGGCUCGUAGGUGGUUUGUCGCGUCGUCUGUGAAAUUCUGGGGCUUAACUCCGGGCGUGCAGGCGAUACGGGCAUAACUUGAGUGCUGUAGGGGUAACUGGAAUUCCUGGUGUAGCGGUGAAAUGCGCAGAUAUCAGGAGGAACACCGAUGGCGAAGGCAGGUUACUGGGCAGUUACUGACGCUGA